AUAAUAUAUUUUGUUGAGAAAAGAAAAUGUGAAAAUGGCAAAGAUGAUCAAAAUUGGCGGCAGAACAAUGGAGAAGGAAAAUAACCAUUUCUUUGUUUGAAAUGUGACGAAUGGGUUUAGUUGAAAAUGUGAGAACUUAUGAGAAACAUGAAAAUAAAGGUUUACGUUUGAAAUGUAUCAUGAUUUUUGUUAAGUGUUAACUGUGCCUAUCAAAAAUGAAUUGUGAAUGAUUUAAGUAAAAUGGAAACAUGUUACUGAUGUUAAGAAUCAUCUACUCAACUUGAUCAUCAUCACCACCAACUAUACAAUCAACUUUCUUCUUCUCUUUUUUUAGUGCUCAAAGUGAUUGUUACCUUACAUUGUUAUAUUGUUGGUUUAUUCAAGAUGGUUCAUUUAAAUGUGUACAACACUUAAAAUAACUGUACUUGGGCCGAAUCAAGAUUUAAUGGUGAUAAAAGUGGAACCUUAAUUACUUCAUUAUCGUCCAUUACUCUUAUUGUUACUGAAAAUAUUGGUUGAUGGUAAUGACCAAGAAAAGGAUGGACGGAGUAGAAGAUGAUGGAGAAUUGAGGAUAUUUUAAAGAAAGGUUGGGUCACAUGUGAAUAAUCAAGCUAGAUAGGUAAUCAAGUUGGAGAACUGAUUAAACCAUAUUCAUCAAAUGUCAUGGAAGGAAAAAAAGGAAGAAAUAAGGAUCAAGAAGAAUCUGUUUUUUGAUGGUUUGUCUUGGAAACUGGAUAAAGAUGAUUCAAAUUAGGUUCAACUCAUUUUUUUCUUACCACCACUCCUACACUCAUCCUAAUCUGUAGUAUUUCAUUGUUUCUGAUUGAAUCUGUUCAACAAUUAGAGUUAAAUUAAGCUACUCAUAGUUAGCCUGCAUUUCCAUGUGAUCCAUUUUAAUGUCUUUCAACAAACUUCCUGGGCGAUUUAUUGAGGAAAGGCCAAUAUCAAGUGAUGAUCAAUGUACAAGACCUAAUAAGUAGUCAAGAUUAUCCCAUUGAUUAAAAGGCUAGUCUAACUGUUAACCUUUAGGCUCUCAUUAUUUGUUAAAAUUUGGAUUAGUAUCCUUUAAUAUCAAGAUGUAGAUUUGAUGGUUUGAAAAAUAAUUAAUCACUAUCAAAUCAACUCAUUGAGAAGAGAUGAGAAGUUUAAUUUUGCAAGCUCUCUUUCCUAUUUUACCAUCAAUUGCUAUUUUGAUUCAUUAUUUGAAGGAAGAAAUGAUGAGAAAAGAAAAAAAGAACUUUUCAAUCUUCGUUUCUCUUUCAAAACAUCAUCAACAUCACAUUAACGCUCAUAUUUUAUGCAUAAUCUGAUGUUUUUUUGUCGAAUAGUGAAAUGAGCAAUUUUCUCUCCUUUCCAACUCUCAUUUAACCUACAACCGGACAGUUUAAAUACACUUUUGCUUCAAUUACAGAAAUCUACUCAAUUGACCCCAAGAAUUAUUCAAAGAUUUGCAUACAACAUAAAUCAAGCAUAAUCAAGGAACCUGAUUGCGUCGCGAACAACCAGUGAUUACGGACACAAUGAAAGUUGGAUUCAAAAAUAACUACACGAUGGAUUUAAAAAUAUUGGACAAGUGUUAAUUGUAAUGAUGCAAAUGGUUUAGUUGCCUAAAAUUUUAAUGUCAUUUAGUUGGUUGGUUUAUAAAAAACCAAUCUAAUUAGUUUAUCAUCAUUAUAGCCAGCCAAUUCAAUAAUGAUUCCAGCAGACUAUUCGUAGAUUGAUUAUAGAUAUAUUUGACAAUCAACACUUAGCGUUCAGACUGAUGACCAGUAUUAAGUUUGUAUUCUCACAAUUUAGAUCAGUGUUUGAAUCAUUUAUUUGUUUGCAUCAUUUGCUCAAUUUUUAGCUAAUAACUUUUCUGAAACAGAUAUAGAAUAAUCAAACAGCAGUAAAUGACUAACGAUACUGAUAAAAUUGCGUCAAGCAGAUAAUUUGUUCAUCUUUCCGUUUGCUCAAUUCACUUUCUAAUUGUUGAACAGUGUCAAAUUUGACUGAUUGUCAUCAUGAUCGAGACAAUUAUUGUCCAAUCUCUUCAACUUUUCACUUCAAGUUAACUAAUUCUUUUCGCCUGUCAAAGUGCAUAGAAAGUGACAAAAAGCCAACAACAAUCAAUGGAACAAUCAACCCAAGAAGAACUUGAAAGCAAGGAAGAAAAGGCCGGAUUUUACACUCAAAUGCAUAUAAACUAUAAAAUUGAAUAGUUAAAGUGACUCAAAGAUGAACCAAGAAAACGUUUGUGAUACAAUAAGUGCUUACCUUGAUGUUGCAAGUGUUUAAAUGAUUAAGGUUUAAAACAGAUUGAACACAAUUUUUCAUUUAAAAUGUUGCACUUUCUCACAUACUGUAUUGUUAUUUCAAGUAUUAUAUUUAAUCCCUUUGACAAUGAGUAAAUUGUUAUUCAUAACUAAUAUUGCAAGUUAAUCAAGAAAGUUGAUUACAAAAUAAGGAGUCACUAUCCGAAUGAACAAGGUCAAUUCCCUUUCUUGAAAUGAAUAUUGUAAGAGAGAAUAAGGUAAACCUGUAAAACAUCAUGUAAUUUGUUCCUAAAGGUUAACUCUGAUAGUUAUCUUUAUAAAGAUGAAACCUCUUCAACAAUUUUCAAGAAAUAACUUUGAGUAAUCAAUUGUUGUAGGCGUUUGGAUUCAAUCAGAAAACAUUGUAAAAGCUGAACAAAAAAAAGUGAAUUUGAUUGAAAUGACUGUUCAAUCAAUGUUAAAUUCAAUAAUAGACUCUGUAAAUUGACUAGA
Molecule: non-coding RNA, 2748 nt
Organism: Tetranychus urticae (two-spotted spider mite)
Lineage: Eukaryota; Metazoa; Arthropoda; Arachnida; Trombidiformes; Tetranychidae
Source: RefSeq, a predicted model, not a curated record